GAUGAAGAACGUAGCAAAAUGCGAUACUUGGUGUGAAUUGCAGAAUCCCGUGAACCAUCGAGUUUUUGAACGCAAGUUGCGCCCGAAGCCUUUUGGCCGAGGGCACGUCUGCCUUGGCGUCACGCAUCGCGUCGCCCCCCACAAUUCUCCGUAAAGGGAACGUGUGUUUUGGGGGCGGAUAUUGGUCUCCCGUGCUCAUGGCGUGGUUGGCCGAAAUAGGAGUCCUUUCGAUGGACGCACGAACUAGUGGUGGUCGUAAAAACCCUCGUCUUUUGUUUCGUGCUGUUGCUCGCAAGGUAAACUCUUUAAAAACCCCAAUGUGUCGUCUCUUGACGACGCUUCGACCGCGACCCCAGGUCAGGCGGGACUACCCGCUGAGUUUAAGCAUAUCAAUAAGCGGAGGA
This 404-nucleotide unclassified non-coding RNA is filed under the name soil metagenome. RNAcentral describes it as "partial contains 5.8S ribosomal RNA, internal transcribed spacer 2, and large subunit ribosomal RNA". The stretch from base 1 to 122 matches the Rfam family "5.8S ribosomal RNA", at positions 35 to 154 of the family's 154-position model. The record is from RNAcentral.